UUUAAAUAGUUUAAAAAAAAUAUUGAUUUGUGAAAUCAAUGAUACUUAUUAGUUUUAAAUUU
RNAcentral lists this transfer RNA (62 nucleotides) under Discolomatidae sp. 1 ACP-2013. Its description in RNAcentral is "tRNA-His". Lineage: Eukaryota; Metazoa; Arthropoda; Insecta; Coleoptera; Discolomatidae. The record is from RNAcentral.